Vicugna pacos (alpaca) is the source of this 4851-nucleotide non-coding RNA. Lineage: Eukaryota; Metazoa; Chordata; Mammalia; Artiodactyla; Camelidae. The record is from RefSeq and is a predicted model, not a curated record.
AGGUGGGGGCGGAAGUGACUGUGUUAGUUUUGGGGCUUGCAGCGUCAGGUAGCUACGUCUACCGUAAGUGGGUGAGGUGUAGUGGGCUCUUCAAGUUUUUGAAGUCACUUUCGUGAAGGCUUGAGAACUCUGUUCUUUCACUGUGCACAUGGGAUGUCGUUUAGAAACUUACUGUUUUGGGGGUCUUCUUUUCCUGGUAGAAAUAUGAGGUUUCUCUUGAAGUUUUAACUUCGUGCCAUAGCUAUAGUAGCUGCCUAGGGCCCACACUGGAACAAAGAGAAACAUGUGAUUUGGAAACAGAAAGACUGAAAGUACGGGGCAUGAAGAGCCUUUGAUUUCUGGAGGCCACAUGGUCGCCCAUGGAAUGGAGUAGCAGCUUUGCUGUGGUCAGUUAUUAAAGGUGAGGGCACAGUGAGAAGGUAGCCAUCUGCAUUCCAGGAAGAGUCCUCAUCAGGAACCAAGUUGGCUGGCACCUUGAUCUUGGACGUCUCAGCCUCCAGAACUUUCGCUAAACUUUCUUAAGACGAUUAUUCUGAAUUCUUUCACAGUUCACAGAUCUCCAUUUCUCUAGGGAAACAACGUGACAAUUCCCACGAAAUUUCAGUCUGAUGCUAAAGGUAGGGACCGAGGUCAAGCUCGAAGUCAUUUAUAGGACCGUACACACUGCCUUAGACUAAAUCUGGGCUUAGCAGCUGCAGAAAAAUAACUCAUGGAAAGCCUUGUUUUAUUAUUUGCUGACAAUUAAAUGCAAUAUCAUAUGAACAUAUUAUGAAAGGGAUUUUGUAAGUGAGAGGGAGUGGCUGGGAAGAAGCAAGGUGAGUGGUGGAAAUGACACUGAAACUUAAACAAUGUUGGAGGGAAGAGUCAUCCACCUAGGAGGACUUCCUGAUUGAAAGCAACAGCAGAAACACAAACAUAUUGAAUUUAGAGCUUUGCAAAUGCAUCUCUUCAUGUCGGGCAUUUUGAGUCCUUUUCUAUUCCUAGGUAUGUUUAUUAAAUUAUAUGAAUCCAGUAAUUCCAAUUAUCCUUUGCAUAUCCAUCCUAAAGUGCAUUUUAUACCAUUGGAUUACAUUUGGAUUUGUUUUUAAGUUACAGAAAAGAAAUCUUGAGUCAGUAAAUGUGGUUAGAUCUCCAGGUCACUGAAUCUUGAAAGAAAUAGAUUUAAAAAGCUUUUUUAAAAUAAGGAAAAAUGACAAAACUCUGGGAAGAAUGUCACUAUUUCUUAGGUGCUAAUUAGAGAUGUGUUUAAUUGCAUGUUGUUCAUUUGAAGAUACUACCUUUUGAUCACUUCACAGGUAGGUAGCGAGCAUUGGUCCUUUUCCAACUGGUUAGACGUGAUGCUGGGAAAACUAGACUCUUUUACCUGACAUAGAUAACUUACCGUUUUAAUUCCUGAGGUGACAUCUUUCCAGUGUUAAAUACAGACCAGAAUAACAAUUGCAUUAUAAUUAUCAAACAUUUGGGCAAGGCAUGUAGAGUACUGUUUUUUUUUAAAUAAUUCUUCACUUCAUUUAGUUCUCUGAUUACAUAAUUAUGCCCUUUGUUUUUCUUUUGCAAAGUAAAUUGCUUUAGGAAAAUUUUAGUAAAAAGAAUUAAAACCUUCAACAAAAUACUGAUGUACUGUGAACCUCAAUUUUCUGUCUGUAGGAUGGGGUUGUUAAUACCCAUAGGUCACGGAGAGUGCUAGAGGAGAUAACUAGUUGUCACGUAUAAAUCAGUUUGUAAAAGCAAUUUUGUUCCAGGGCAUAAUUUUCAGGUGCUGAUAAUCAGAUCUUUAAAGAAAAAAAAAAUCUCUCUUAACUUGGUUGUCAUUUGUUAAACAAAGACUGGGAUAUCUUCGGGUGGUCAGUCAACUCACUCAUGGCCGUGAGGUGAACUGUAAUGGCCUCAAACUUACUUCUUCAGGUAAAAUGAAAUUCUGUUCACUUGGAGGCUCAGUUUCAUCUACCAGUAAUUGAUGUGGUGAGCUAUCUGAUUUCUAAAAGUGUCUUUUGUCAUUCAUUCAUUCAUGCAUGCAUUUAUGGAUUCAUUUAAGAAAUAUUUAUUCAGUACCCACUCUGUACAGAAUUGCUGGGUAUCACAGGUACCCCUACCCCAUCUCCCAAGAUUACUAUCCCCUGGUUGAUCAAUCAAACACUAAUUUGGUAUUACUGUGAAAGGACUUUGCAGAUGUAAUUAAAGUCCAUGUUAGUUGACCUUAAAAUAUGGAGAUGAUCUAAGUGGGCCUAACAUAGUCUCACGUCUCUUUAAAAACAGGUAGUUUUCUCCACUGGUGGCAGAAGGUGACAUCAAGAGACUAAAACCCUGAAGGGGAUUUGACUUGUUUGCUGGCUUGAGGAUGGAGGGGCCCACCUGUUAAGGAAUGCAAGUGAUCUUUAGAAUCAGAGAGCAGCCUCUAACAGCCAACAAGGAUAUGAGACCUCAGUCCUACAAUCACAAGGAACUGGAUCCUGACAACAACCUAAAGGAACCUGAAAGUGGAUUCUUCCCUAGAGCCUUAUGGAUGCCCUGAUUUCAGCCUUGUAAGAUCAGACAGAGAGAACUCAGUUGAGCUAUAUUGUACUUCAAGAUUGCAGAACAGAACUGUGAGGUAAUAAAUCUGUGUUGCUUUUAAACCACUGCAUUCAUGGCAGUUGUUUGCUACAACAGAAAACAAAAGCAAUCAUUGAUCUCCUUUCAUACUGUGACAUAUCAAGCAACUGCAGAAAGCAAUGCAAGGGUUAAAGAGACAAAAGUUAGAAAUGGAAAACCUAAAGAUAGGUCAAGGCGAAAUGCCUGAGCAUCCAAUGAGCAGUGCCUGUAGUAAGUGUUCUUAGUACCAGGAAGGGUGUUUCAGAGUGGGCGGGACUGUUUUGAGUUCUUCCUGGAGCAGGGGGCCCAAAAAGCAUGGGAAGGUUUGGCAAGGCAGAAUUUCUUUUAUAAUUUCAAAUAAAUGUCCUUUUGAACCUAUUUGUCUAUCUUUAAUUCAAAUUUUUGUUAAGAUGGCAUUCUGUAAUCCUAUGCUAUGUCUGUUCUCCGUCUUUUCUACAAACCUUUCCUCACCUUUGCAAACAAUAAAAUAAAAAGACUCCAAUCAGAGACUCCAAGGGGUCAGUAUUAUUGUUCCAAAGAGUCAAAAGGAAAUAAUCAUGAGCCACUUAUAAAUCCAAGAUUACUCCAAUUCCGUGCUGAGCUCUGAAUGAGAUAAUGUGUACAUGUACGUAAUCUCUAUCCAGAGUACAGGAGGAAAGCUUGACCAGGAGCCCUGGGUGCACUCUCCCACGUUUUAAACAUAAAAUGCUUUAAUCUGAACACUUAUCAGUGAAUAACUAAUCCUAGUAAGCACAUAACCAUGCUUAUUUUCUAACUCCUUUGUGGGCCAAUAAUGAAUACAGAUAACAUGGAAAACAGGCACUGUGGCAAAUGUGGACAAAUAGAAUUUAGAGACAGUGACAGAAAGCUUAGUCAAGCAUAAUGCUCACAAAACAUAAAGCAAAAAUCAGGACAAAAAACCAUCAAACCUUCCCCAGAGGCUCACGAUUUCAUAAGAGGGUCUGCCUCUAGAGUCCUUUGGCUUUGUGUGACCUCCUGUUCCCCUAGCAUUCAUUCGCACUCCCAGAACUAAAAGAAGUUUGGACUAUAACACUCAUUAUAUACAGUAGCUACUGAAGCUGCAAGGAUACAUAAAUAAAUAAAUAAAAUGUGUAGAAGAUAAAGUUAAAGCCCUGGGCUCAUCUAUUUCCCCAAGGUUACAAUCUGAAUGUAUUUCCAGUGGGGAAAAAGGCACACACAUAUCCCCCUAAAAAACAUUUUUUUUGAAUAUAUGAAAAGUAAAGCCAACAUACUUUUUUACUUGUACAUUUCUCCAUUUAAACUGCUAUUUGCAACUCAUCAUGCAUGAACAGAAGAAUGGGAUAAAAUGAACAAAGCACGGAUUUCUGUUGUUCCUGCCAUGAAAAGUUACAGCAAAUAAAUUGCACCAGAGGAAAGAAUAAACGUAAAAAUAACCGAAAUCUUUUUAUGUAGAUGAGGUGAAAAAGCAGGCUCCUUUAGAAUUGCUUCUUUAGAUUAUAAUAGCAAUUUAUGUUACAAGUCACUAUGACAGAUCAGCCCAUAAUUUAUUUCAAGAAGUCAAACUAGCAAGAUCACGAGUCCUGUAGGUGGUACUUCAUCUUAUCGUAUUAAAACGGUCUUCCCAAAUAUAAAAGAUAAUCUCAACUGCUGUGCUCUGUAAGCAAGCAGAAAAUUAUGUAAAUCUGAUUUCCUUACUAUGCGUGUGCUAUCUCUUUAAAGCUUACUAAAUCAUAUCCAGAUUUGUAAACACAAAAGCACUGGAUCCAAGAUACAUUUGCUUUUCAAACACUCAGAAUGAGAAAAGGUAUUUUGCAGGGUAUAAUUGAAAAAUUCCUAUCUGUUUUCAAAAGCUAACAAAUCAACGGUUGUGUGAGAUUAAAAAAAAAAAUACAAAACAUCACCUCAACUUAUUAUGGGCUUAAUUGCUUCCUCAUAAUGGAGUGUGACAAUGUGAUUGCAGUAAGAAUAGCACCUGCUUUGAAAAUCACGUAUCAAAAAGGAGCGCCGGUGAGAGGGAGCGGAAGCCCACGCGGCAGCCGCGUGGCAGCUCCUCUCCGUCCGCUCCUUGGUUCGCACGGCUUCUUACCUCUCUCCGUCACGCCUCUCUAGGCUCACUGCUGAAUAACUGGAGGGUAUUCUACUAAUGCACCUAAAACGAUGUCUGUGCCUGUAUGCCCAGCAUGGCGACUUCAAAGACAGAGGCACAUGCAGGCAGUUGGGGCUCUACCUGAGCCCAAACUCAGAGACUGUCUUCCUUACAGACACAGAAGCCCCCCCGUAUGGCCCAGACUACGCUCU